GUGGGUGUGGCUCAGUGGUAGAGCGCUCACCUAGCAUGUGCAAGGUGCUGGGUUCAAUCCUCAGCACCAUA
This 71-nucleotide transfer RNA is filed under the name Ictidomys tridecemlineatus (thirteen-lined ground squirrel). RNAcentral's name for it is "Spermophilus tridecemlineatus (thirteen-lined ground squirrel) tRNA". It matches the Rfam family "tRNA". Rfam says of the family: Transfer RNA (tRNA) molecules are approximately 80 nucleotides in length. Their secondary structure includes four short double-helical elements and three loops (D, anti-codon, and T loops). Lineage: Eukaryota; Metazoa; Chordata; Mammalia; Rodentia; Sciuridae. The record is from Rfam by way of RNAcentral.